UACGUAGGGUGCGAGCGUUGUCCGGAUUUAUUGGGCGUAAAGAGCUCGUAGGCGGUUUGUCGCGUCGGCCGUGAAAUCUCCACGCUUAACGUCGAGCGUGCGGUCGAUACGGGCAGACUUGAGUUCGGUAGGGGAGACUGGAAUUCCUGGUGUAGCGGUGAAAUGCGCAGAUAUCAGGAGGAACACCGGUGGCGAAGGCGGGUCUCUGGGCCGAUACUGACGCUGAGGAGCGAAAGCGUGGGGAGCGAACAGG
This 253-nucleotide ribosomal RNA is filed under the name uncultured bacterium. RNAcentral's name for it is "partial 16S ribosomal RNA". It matches the Rfam family "Bacterial small subunit ribosomal RNA", at positions 524 to 776 of the family's 1533-position model. The record is from RNAcentral.